UNGUUGGGGCUUAGCUAAUUAUCGAGUAUAU
RNAcentral lists this non-coding RNA (31 nucleotides) under Mus musculus (house mouse). The record is from RNAcentral. Lineage: Eukaryota; Metazoa; Chordata; Mammalia; Rodentia; Muridae.